UACAGAGGUCUCAAGCGUUGUUCGGAUUCAUUGGGCGUAAAGGGUGCGCAGGCGGCCGUGUGUGUCAGGUGUGAAAGCCCGGAGCUUAACUCCGGAAUUGCGCCUGAAACUACAUGGCUAGAGCAUUGGAGAGGGUAGCGGAAUUCACGGUGUAGCAGUGAAAUGCGUAGAUAUCGUGAGGAACACCAGAGGCGAAGGCGGCUACCUGGACAAUUGCUGACGCUCAGGCACGAAAGCGUGGGGAGCAAAAGGG
This 253-nucleotide ribosomal RNA is filed under the name uncultured bacterium. RNAcentral describes it as "partial 16S ribosomal RNA". It matches the Rfam family "Bacterial small subunit ribosomal RNA", at positions 524 to 776 of the family's 1533-position model. The record is from RNAcentral.